AAGAUAGACUACUUAGCUUGGUUAGAGUAAAAUGGGCUAUUUAGCAAAUACGAUACACCCUAAUUGGUAUUUGGAUUGGUUGUUAAAUGGGCCUAGUAGCACACACGCACACAAGGUUGGGGUUACGCAUAUGUACAUGUACACGUACGAGACCAGGAUAGCUCGUUCCCCUCACGCUCAUCUCUUUCGAGCCUAAACGUGAUCCUCUCUCGAUUCCCCUUUCUCGCAUGCGACCUCACAUGUCGAUGCGCUCGUCGCCGCCUUGAUUCCGGCCGCCGCCGACCAUGUCCGGUGCCGCCGAACGUCGCCAAUACUCCGCCUGCAUCUCCUCCCCCAGUUCCCUGCCGGCACGGUGCCUGCCCGCGCCCACGCGCGACCUCGUGAAACCCUAGCUUGGGCUAGCCGGUGCGGCAUCAGCACCGCCGUGCCGCUGCAGGCUGCAUCCUCAAUGAAGAGCACGAGCUCCUCAUAGCCGCCUACGACUUCUAAAACGAUCUUCCGAGCUCCUGCUCCCCUAGUUCGACAUCGACGAGCACCUCCAAGGCCUGUGCGACGUCCAUGCUAUUCCCCUGGUCCGGCUCGCCUCCCUUUCGUGUUCUCGCACGGCCUGACUUCUCGAGAUCGACGACCACGAGUUCCUCGUCGCUGAACGCGAGCCCUAACACGAGUCCCUGCUCUACUAUGAUCACUCAGGAAACAGAGAUCAAUGGAGGAUUGAGAAGAUUUAGAUUUAGGAAUUCUUUUAUUUCCUUGUAAUCUUCUAUUACUUUUGUAAAGAGAAUAUAUAAUUGUGUAAAGGUUGUACAAUUUAAAUGGAUGUAUGAUGAUUUGUAAUAUUUAGUUUUUGACCAAACAAUCUUAUUUUACUUA
This is a non-coding RNA of Lolium perenne, 870 nucleotides long. NCBI's taxonomy places the organism in Eukaryota, Viridiplantae, Streptophyta, Magnoliopsida, Poales, Poaceae. The record is from RefSeq and is a predicted model, not a curated record.